This is a long non-coding RNA of Gigantopelta aegis, 1950 nucleotides long. RefSeq lists it as uncharacterized. NCBI's taxonomy places the organism in Eukaryota, Metazoa, Mollusca, Gastropoda, Neomphalida, Peltospiridae. The record is from RefSeq and is a predicted model, not a curated record. The transcript has 4 exons.
UUUGCUAGCGUUGUAAACAACAAGACUUGAAUUUUUAUUCCAGUGGAUUCGGCGAAAGACAACCAUGUAUAGAAGCCGACAAGCACAUUGAAACCAACAACCACACCAAGACCAACAACUACGUUGAGAAAGAAAACUGUAUAUGGAAGCAGGCAACAUCACCAAAGCAAUGUCGGAAGCGGACACCAACACAGCAGAGGUGAACAACAACUGGUUUUCCCGACAAGACCAGGAUGAAGUAGCUGAGCGAUAUGACAAGGAGGAUUGGACAACUUGAGACCUGCCACAUCACGCUGCUGAUCAACUUAGUCAACGUUCUUAAUUGCGUCCAUCUUGGACAGGAUGGACGAUUAUGGAGCCUCUUGCCAUAGUAAUAUUGUUUGCUCAUCAUGUCGAUAUAGCAACAUGAUAGCUAAUCAUGGAGUCCAUAUAGCGGAUUAUUGGUCUGAGCAAACAUUCUGAUGUAAUUCCUCAGUUUGAAAUUAACACUGUUAUCAUUACAGUCAGCACAAUAUAGGAUCUAGGAGAUAUACUGAAAACCGUUUGUAUUGGACUCAGUGUCCCCACAGUACCAUGGGUGACAAAACUUCUGCCUGGCUGCCCACAAACCAAAAGUUGCGACGUUUUUAUUAUAAUAUAAAGUAACACAUUCACAAAUACAUUGGUUACUCAUUAACACUAUGCCUGGUUUAUAACAAUAAGAAUAAGAUUGCUAAUUGAGACACUUCGCAUUGAAAAGUUCUUUUAAAAUUUAAAAACACAAGUUUGUCAUUUGAUGUACUUCCAGUCUUGCAACAGUUCUUGUUAAGUACAAAUGGCCAGUCAGUAUGUUCAUAAUGUCUUGAGAUUCUCGAAACACACACUGGAAAUACAACAAAAACUAAUCCUAAUACCACUAGCAGACCUGGUUAUAUCACCUAACUGAAAUAUACCUGAGCUGGAAGGAUCAGAAAACGUAAACUGAGUGUUCUUAAUUUGUCUCUAUGUGUGGAAACAUAAAGAAUCCAUAACUCAUUGUCUAUCUGUCCUCCUGACGAAACUGGGUUCAUAGCUUUUCUGAGCCUGUAUUGUUCAUCAUAGUUGAUCCAGCCUAAGUGAAUUGAUCUGUCAGCAGCCAAACGUACAUCAUGCAUAUGUUAAAUUAGCUCUAUGGCUUUUUCUGGGUGCCUCUCUAAAUAAACUGACAUGUACACCAAAAAUGCGGACAUCCAGCUGUGUAUAUUUGAAAUUGGUCUGGUUGAUGCUUUUUCUAUAGUUAUCUGACCCUGUCUAACCACUAACUGACCCGACAUUCCCUGAUCGGAAGGAAAACCGUUAGAUGAUUUAAGUAGUAUUGGCAAAUUAACAUACUCCCCAUUCCAAAUAAUUUCUUUUAUUUUGGGUGGCACAUGAAUACCCACUGGACAGAACACACUGUUAAUUGGAAUGGUAGAACCGUGCGCAUAUUCGGUAAAGAGUGAAACCUGUUCUACACACUGUUUGGCGGUUACAUUUUCAUUUAACAUAAAACCAGCAGGUGAAACAAUUUUUGAAGGGAGUGAUGAAACAUUAAUAAAUUGAGAAAUAUUUGUAUCACCUAGCUGAUUUGUUGGAGUCAUCGCAACAACUGGUGGGUCACUAUACAUGUCAUUGCAUCAUUACGACCUUCAGCCUCUUCAAAUUGUUGAACUGCCCCGCUAGUUGUGCUUGCAGCUUGUCGGGCCGAUAAGCUAUUAGAGCGCUCCUUCACUGCUGUUCUUCGCUUGGCUGCUGGCACAGGGUGAGUUUCAACUUUCUUUUUACCAUGUUGCAUGUUCUAAAAUCCCAGUUUCUUUAAAUAAGUUUUAAUAAAUAGUCCACCUUCCUUCAAAACGUAACGACAAACUGUUUAAUUUCUGUACGAAUAUAAACAAUGAUGUCAAAUAUUUGACGUCAUUGAAUAUAAAUAUCAACACAGCCGAGUGGUCUCCC